This 926-nucleotide long non-coding RNA is filed under the name Olea europaea subsp. europaea. Lineage: Eukaryota; Viridiplantae; Streptophyta; Magnoliopsida; Lamiales; Oleaceae. The record is from RNAcentral.
GCUGGAUGUAAUUCAGGAGAGAAUAAAGAGAUCUUAGUUCGAAGUUUCUCAACACUUUUCAACUCAAACCCUUAAAAUUAGACAUUCUUGAAAAUGCCUCCAAAAAAAAAAAAUAGAAUCCUUUACCCUUUGCCUCCCAUAUCCAUUGCCCCCACUCCUCGCAGAAGAAUCAGAUUACAAAACAUUGAAUUGCUGCCAUUCACGUCUCUACCCAUUAAUCUAUUCUUCACUCUGGAUUCUUCUCUCUUUUUUAUUCUAUACUAUAGUAUAUGGUCUGGUGGUUCAUAUCUGUUGGGUUAAGGAGCUUCUGCAAUCAAGGGAGGAAGAUGUCAUAUCAGAUAUGAUAUUGACAGAUUACGCUGAUUGGAAAUGGAUGAGAAGAUAGGAAGAAAGGUUUUGGAUGUUUUUAAGAUUGUUGAGGAAGCGUUUUCUGUAUAGGAGUAUUGAGGGAGCUCAUUAAGCUUAUUAAGGUUCUUAUCUUCUCUUUCUCAAUUUUCUUUUUCCAAUGACCAAAUUUUAUUUUUUAUGAAUAGAUCUACAAGGAACCAUGAAGCUAUUGCAAUGUCUUUCCUUGUAGCAAAUGCAAUUGGUGCUCAUAUCAAUGACCAUUGACUUUCUGUUGCCAUUCAUAUUAGCAUCAUUUGCUGCAAAUUUUCACUUUCACGGUUUUUCAAUACUUCGUUUCUUGAAGUUAAUGUCAGCAAUCUUCGACCAAAUCUAUAAGGACCAACUAGAAGAGAAUAGGGAUCUCUUAGCUAUCGAAGUAUAGAGGCAUUUUGUUCUUGAGACUAGCUUCAGAUUUAAAUUGUGCAAUUGGGACUUUGUCUUGUCAAAUUUCUGUAGGCAGUAGGUAGUGACUGUGAUUGUUCAUUAUUAUUAUUUUUUUUUGUCUAUUAUAAUAUCUGUGGAAGAGGCGAUUAACUAGG